Molecule: unclassified non-coding RNA, 182 nt
Organism: Chelonoidis abingdonii (Abingdon island giant tortoise)
Lineage: Eukaryota; Metazoa; Chordata; Testudines; Testudinidae
Source: Ensembl
UUCACAGCCCUGGAGACCAAAGUCCUCUAUUUAGGCACAGGACAGGUAUAGCACAAACAGUAGCAGUGGAAGCUUCCCACGCAUUGGCCUGCCAAUGUGCUUCGACCCUGCUCCAGAGGGAUCCCCUCGCGGGAAGAGAGGGAGGGAAUUUAGUUCAAGAGCCAAAGAGGGCAGGAGAAUUU